GAUGAACGCUGGCGGCGCGCCUAAUACAUGCAAGUCGAGCGAACGGACGAGAAGCUUGCUUCUCUGAUGUUAGCGGCGGACGGGUGAGUAACACGUGGAUAACCUACCUAUAAGACUGGGAUAACUUCGGGAAACCGGAGCUAAUACCGGAUAAUAUUAUGAACCGCAUGGUUCAAAAGUGAAAGACGGUCUUGCUGUCACUUAUAGAUGGAUCCGCGCUGCAUUAGCUAGUUGGUAAGGUAACGGCUUACCAAGGCAACGAUGCAUAGCCGACCUGAGAGGGUGAUCGGCCACACUGGAACUGAGACACGGUCCAGACUCCUACGGGAGGCAGCAGUAGGGAAUCUUCCGCAAUGGGCGAAAGCCUGACGGAGCAACGCCGCGUGAGUGAUGAAGGUCUUCGGAUCGUAAAACUCUGUUAUUAGGGAAGAACAUAUGUGUAAGUAACUGUGCACAUCUUGACGGUACCUAAUCAGAAAGCCACGGCUAACUACGUG
This 497-nucleotide ribosomal RNA is filed under the name uncultured bacterium. RNAcentral describes it as "partial 16S ribosomal RNA". It matches the Rfam family "Bacterial small subunit ribosomal RNA", at positions 28 to 507 of the family's 1533-position model. The record is from RNAcentral.